Molecule: ribosomal RNA, 1721 nt
Filed under: Campylobacter jejuni
Lineage: Bacteria; Pseudomonadati; Campylobacterota; Epsilonproteobacteria; Campylobacterales; Campylobacteraceae
Description: bacterial LSU rRNA
Rfam family: Bacterial large subunit ribosomal RNA
Source: RNAcentral
AAGUGGUAGGAGAGCGUUCUAUUUGCGUCGAAGGUAUACCGGUAAGGAGUGCUGGAGCGAAUAGAAGUGAGCAUGCAGGCAUGAGUAGCGAUAAUUAAUGUGAGAAUCAUUAACGCCGUAAACCCAAGGUUUCCUACGCGAUGCUCGUCAUCGUAGGGUUAGUCGGGUCCUAAGUCGAGUCCGAAAGGGGUAGACGAUGGCAAAUUGGUUAAUAUUCCAAUACCAACAUUAGUGUGCGAUGGAAGGACGCUUAGGGCUAAGGGGGCUAGCGGAUGGAAGUGCUAGUCUAAGGUCGUAGGAGGUUAUACAGGCAAAUCCGUAUAACAAUACUCCGAGAACUGAAAGGCUUUUUGAAGUCUUCGGAUGGAUAGAAGAACCCCUGAUGCCGUCGAGCCAAGAAAAGUUUCUAAGUUUAGCUAAUGUUGCCCGUACCGUAAACCGACACAGGUGGGUGGGAUGAGUAUUCUAAGGCGCGUGGAAGAACUCUCUUUAAGGAACUCUGCAAAAUAGCACCGUAUCUUCGGUAUAAGGUGUGGUUAGCUUUGUAUUAGGAUUUACUCCGAAAGCAAGGAAACUUACAACAAAGAGUCCCUCCCGACUGUUUACCAAAAACACAGCACUCUGCUAACUCGUAAGAGGAUGUAUAGGGUGUGACGCCUGCCCGGUGCUCGAAGGUUAAUUGAUGGGGUUAGCAUUAGCGAAGCUCUUGAUCGAAGCCCGAGUAAACGGCGGCCGUAACUAUAACGGUCCUAAGGUAGCGAAAUUCCUUGUCGGUUAAAUACCGACCUGCAUGAAUGGCGUAACGAGAUGGGAGCUGUCUCAAAGAGGGAUCCAGUGAAAUUGUAGUGGAGGUGAAAAUUCCUCCUACCCGCGGCAAGACGGAAAGACCCCGUGGACCUUUACUACAGCUUGACACUGCUACUUGGAUAAGAAUGUGCAGGAUAGGUGGGAGGCUUUGAGUAUAUGACGCCAGUUGUAUAUGAGCCAUUGUUGAGAUACCACUCUUUCUUAUUUGGGUAGCUAACCAGCUUGAGUUAUCCUCAAGUGGGACAAUGUCUGGUGGGUAGUUUGACUGGGGCGGUCGCCUCCCAAAUAAUAACGGAGGCUUACAAAGGUUGGCUCAGAACGGUUGGAAAUCGUUCGUAGAGUAUAAAGGUAUAAGCCAGCUUAACUGCAAGACAUACAAGUCAAGCAGAGACGAAAGUCGGUCUUAGUGAUCCGGUGGUUCUGUGUGGAAGGGCCAUCGCUCAAAGGAUAAAAGGUACCCCGGGGAUAACAGGCUGAUCUCCCCCAAGAGCUCACAUCGACGGGGAGGUUUGGCACCUCGAUGUCGGCUCAUCGCAUCCUGGGGCUGGAGCAGGUCCCAAGGGUAUGGCUGUUCGCCAUUUAAAGCGGUACGCGAGCUGGGUUCAGAACGUCGUGAGACAGUUCGGUCCCUAUCUGCCGUGGGCGUAAGAAGAUUGAAGAGAUUUGACCCUAGUACGAGAGGACCGGGUUGAACAAACCACUGGUGUAGCUGUUGUUCUGCCAAGAGCAUCGCAGCGUAGCUAAGUUUGGAAAGGAUAAACGCUGAAAGCAUCUAAGCGUGAAGCCAACUCUAAGAUGAAUCUUCUCUAAGCUCUCUAGAAGACUACUAGUUUGAUAGGCUGGGUGUGUAAUGGAUGAAAGUCCUUUAGCUGACCAGUACUAAUAGAGCGUUUGGCUUAUCUUUAAUAAAGCAU